RNAcentral lists this ribosomal RNA (233 nucleotides) under uncultured bacterium. Its description in RNAcentral is "partial 16S ribosomal RNA". It matches the Rfam family "Bacterial small subunit ribosomal RNA", at positions 524 to 756 of the family's 1533-position model. The record is from RNAcentral.
UACGAAGGGUGCAAGCGUUAAUCGGAAUUACUGGGCGUAAAGCGCGCGUAGGUGGUUCAGUAAGUUGGAUGUGAAAUCCCCGGGCUCAACCUGGGAACUGCAUCCAAAACUGCUGAGCUAGAGUACGGUAGAGGGUAGUGGAAUUUCCUGUGUAGCGGUGAAAUGCGUAGAUAUAGGAAGGAACACCAGUGGCGAAGGCGACUACCUCGACUGGUACUGACGCUGAUGUGCGA